Molecule: long non-coding RNA, 204 nt
Filed under: Manihot esculenta (cassava)
Lineage: Eukaryota; Viridiplantae; Streptophyta; Magnoliopsida; Malpighiales; Euphorbiaceae
Description: long non-coding RNA (MESC_LNC012893)
Source: RNAcentral
AAAAGAGUGAGAAAAAAACAUGGCGUGUAGAAGAACCAAAAAAUUAAAUCUAAGCAAUCAAUUAGAGAUCCUUAAAUCCAAGUGAAGAUUAUGAUAUUACAAAAGCACAUAUCAAAGAAUUUGAAGAAGCGAAAGUCUUAGAGAAACUUCUAAAGCAAUGAGCAAAUCAAUUUCAAUUAUCACCACGACAUGUUGAUAAUGAAG